This is a long non-coding RNA of Brassica oleracea var. oleracea, 1358 nucleotides long. RefSeq lists it as uncharacterized. The record is from RefSeq and is a predicted model, not a curated record. The transcript has 4 exons. Lineage: Eukaryota; Viridiplantae; Streptophyta; Magnoliopsida; Brassicales; Brassicaceae.
UUCAGGGCAGAUCGCUAUGAAACCUAAGAGGAUUCGAUAUUACAAGGAAGCCAAGAAAGAUAUCCUUCAAUAAUCACUCUUCCAGAAGAAGUUUCAGGUAAAUAGACAAUCUAACUGUACGCAGCAGAGCAGUAGUGAUUCUUGUAAUAAUAAGGUCUCAAAAGAAGUAUCAAGCAGCACUGCAGCAGUAACAAACAAACAAACAAAAAACUCGAUUCUUCUUCCCUGUGGUGGCUCAAGACGAGCUAAUCAGCAGGAUUUCUCAAAAUUGUAGCGGAUCAGGAAAUUAGUGACCAGUUCUGAUUCAAAGUGUUUCUUCAGACUAAAUUCGAAAAUGUACUUGACCUUGGUUUUAAAUGUCGUGUGGCGAGGAUUGGCGAAAGGAGGCUCGACACUCGCCACUCGCCAUGGCGUUUCAUGGCGAUCGCAUCGCGUAUCAGCCGCUCAAAAGGGGUGUUUGAUAGGACGACCAUAAGGAAGCAAAUAAAUAUUGAAGUCAGACCAGGCCAAUUACUGAUGCCACGAACAUGGAUCAUGGAAGAUGGUUACAGCUAACGGGUGAAAAACACAAAUACAUACAGAAGAUCACUUCCCAUGUCCGUAAAGGUUAGUACAAUCUCUAUACUAUUUUAUGUUAUAGUUGCAAAAUAGAAUAACAGAUGGAACGUGAGGGUAGAGUGCUAGGAGUUGGUUUUGAGUACUGAUGGAAAACUUGAAUUUAGAUAAUAGACGGCUCAAACAAAUAUAAAAAAUAGAGUGCCAAAACAUAAUGGCUCUAAACAUAAUGGCUCUACAUUAAUUAAAUCACAAAACUUCGGAAGAGUUCAGGAAUGUCCGGGCAAAGUUAGCAUCAAGUCCAGGACGGAGUUAGACAUAAUUAGACACCAUUUAGAAUCAGAUGGGUGAUGGUGCUUUAAUAGGGCGUCCGGAUGUUCAGACGGUACAGAACUGUAAUGCCUUGCAAACUUAGGACGAUCCAAACCAAGUCAGAUUCAUUCAUUGGAGAUGUUUGGAUGAGAUGUUCAAAAAUAAGGCGACAGGCGGUCCGUACCAUCAACUAUAUUUCACCCGAGAUCGAUCAGAAGCUGUGCAAAUUUAUGGCGGCGGUUUCCAAGAGCAAUCAGAGGACCUUAUCUAUUUGUGAACCUUGGAAAGUAAGGGAUCCUUAUGGAUUUUGGCAUGAGAGAUUAUUCGCGAUCAACUCCGGAGUCCUUCCGAAAAAUAUAUUUGGGAUGUCCACAUCUGGAUCCAGAUAGUAAAAUCUCGAAUCCGUCCAAACUGGAUAUGGAUAUCUGGAUCCGUGUUUUGAAAACAUAUUAAAUAUUGAAUCUUAUUAAUAAUUAUUAAUAUUUAUACAU